This 1110-nucleotide long non-coding RNA is filed under the name Numida meleagris (helmeted guineafowl). Its description in RNAcentral is "lncRNA (ENSNMEG00000002834.1)". The record is from RNAcentral. Lineage: Eukaryota; Metazoa; Chordata; Aves; Galliformes; Numididae.
UAGGUGUCUAUCUGAACCCACCUGGGAGAUGGUCUUCCUACUGCUUCCAUCUACUUGGCCCAGAUCUGUCUUAUCAGGAGGGAGUCUCUAACUUUUGUCGGAUGGGACAAUGUAACUGUGUAGAGGCACAAAGGUAGUUUAAGGACACUUAAGUCUUGCUGCCACUUGCUAUUACAAUUAUUGAUGAAUGCUGUUAUUAUAGGGAGAGGCCUCUCAGUGUGAAAGCAUUUUUGUUAUUCUUCAGUCUCCACCAUCAUAUUUUUUGCAGAAGUUACUCAUGACAGAUGCAACUUUCCUGGCUCCAGAGGCUGAAACCAAUCUUCCGAGCCGUUAUCCUCAAGGAUAUUGCAGAGUAAGACUGAUACAUUAACUAGCAAGCAGUGAUCCUGUUCUCCUGGAGCUUCAGCUCAGCUGAAUCUUCUGUGCUUCAGAGCAAGCUCUCCCAGCCCUCUCUACCAUGACACUACCACUUCAUCCUGUGAACAAUUCACCUGAUGCACUGUUAGAUCUCACUGCCUUUUUCACAGGGUUGUGUUAAUGGCUAAAAUGAUCAGCUAAUAAACUCAGAUGUAGUUCUUCCUGUUGCCUCCUGCUUGUGUUGGGUAAGAUGAAAUUUAAAAAGUUUGUGAACCAAAUCAUAGGUCAUAAAAGUUCUUGUAUUUUUUCACAUAUCUCUGGUUUUUCUACUUCUGGCUGAAAGCGAGGGAAAGAAAUCUCUUCCCCUUGGUCUGUGUAUUGGAGCUCCUGCUUAAGGUGAAAUGUUCACUUGGGUCACAGGGACUUUUACCUGAAAUGGAGACAGCUGGUGGAAAUCUCUGCUACCCUUUAUUUUAAGAUAUUUCCUGGAACCUGAGUCCAUGUUUUACUCUCAGCAGCUUCACCCAUGAGUCCAGGAGCCUGCAUCAAGCAGUAUUUUCAAUGUUUUCUUCUUCUACUUCUGUGUGUGUGUCUUCCACCAAGGGCUGAGAAAUGCAUAAAGCUCUUCCUUGUGGAAGGAGGAAUUUCUCCUGGUCCUGCAGAUGGGAUGUAACCUUUGGCUGCCCUGGGCAGAUUCUCCUGUGAGUCGGUGGAUUUGGUUUCUACAGAGCUCAGCCACCUGCACCAGUCAGU